This 531-nucleotide ribosomal RNA is filed under the name uncultured Nitrospira sp. RNAcentral describes it as "bacterial SSU rRNA". It matches the Rfam family "Bacterial small subunit ribosomal RNA", at positions 1 to 526 of the family's 1533-position model. Lineage: Bacteria; Pseudomonadati; Nitrospirota; Nitrospiria; Nitrospirales; Nitrospiraceae. The record is from RNAcentral.
AUUAGAGUUUGAUCCUGGCUCAGAACGAACGCUGGCGGCGCGCCUAAUACAUGCAAGUCGAGCGAGAAGGUGUAGCAAUACACUUGUAAAGCGGCGAACGGGUGAGGAAUACAUGGGUAAUCUACCAUCGAGUGGGGAAUAACCAGCCGAAAGGUUGGCUAAUACCGCGUACGCCUCCGAGUCUUCGGGUUCGGAGGGAAAGCUGCACUGUGAGUGUAGCGCUCUUUGAUGAGCUCAUGUCCUAUCAGCUUGUUGGUAGGGUAACGGCCUACCAAGGCUUUGACGGGUAGCUGGUCUGAGAGGACGAUCAGCCACACUGGCACUGAGACACGGUCCAGACUCCUACGGGAGGCAGCAGUGAGGAAUAUUGGUCAAUGGGAGCAAUCCCGAACCAGCGACGCCGCGUGUGGGAUGACGGGGCUAUGCCCUGUAAACCACUGUCGGAUGGGACGAAAAGCAGGCUUCACCUGCCGGGACGGUACCAUCAAAGGAAGGAUCGGCUAACUACGUGCCAGCAGCCGCGGUAAUAAU